This 702-nucleotide unclassified non-coding RNA is filed under the name Hevea brasiliensis (rubber tree). The record is from RNAcentral. Lineage: Eukaryota; Viridiplantae; Streptophyta; Magnoliopsida; Malpighiales; Euphorbiaceae.
UCAUUCUCUCUCUCAUUUGCACUCCGACGGCUGUCCGCACCGUUUCCACUCUACUCCGACUCACGAAUUGCGGACCUCUAAAUUAUCGAAGAGCAGCCAAAAUGUCUCGAAAAGGACUAAUGGAGCAGGACCUGAGCAAGUUGGAUGUAACACAGUUGCAUCCACUUUCUCCCGAAGUGAUUUCUCGUCAGGCUACGAUCAACAUUGGUACCAUUGGCCAUGUGGCUCACGGAAAGUCAACAGUUGUAAAAGCUAUAUCUGGUGUGCAGACUGUCCGUUUUAAGAAUGAGCUAGAGCGUAACAUUACAAUCAAGCUUGGAUAUGCUAAUGCCAAGAUUUACAAAUGUGAAGAAGAGCGCUGCCCUAGACCCAUGUGCUAUAAGGCAUAUGGAAGUGGAAAAGAAGACAGCCCCAUGUGUGAUGUCCCUGGUUUUGAGAGCUGCAAGAUGAAAUUGCUGAGACACGUGUCCUUUGUUGAUUGUCCUGGUCAUGAUAUUCUCAUGGCUACGAUGCUUAAUGGAGCAGCCAUUAUGGAUGGAGCAUUACUUCUAAUUGCUGCUAACGAGAGCUGUCCCCAACCUCAAACUUCUGAACAUUUAGCUGCUGUAGAAAUUAUGCGUCUCCAACAUAUAAUAAUUCUUCAAAAUAAGGUUGAUCUGGUUCAGGAAAAUGUUGCUAUCAACCAGCAUGAGGCAAUUCAGA